Molecule: ribosomal RNA, 355 nt
Filed under: uncultured Thermus sp.
Lineage: Bacteria; Thermotogati; Deinococcota; Deinococci; Thermales; Thermaceae
Description: bacterial SSU rRNA
Rfam family: Bacterial small subunit ribosomal RNA
Source: RNAcentral
CCCUAGCACAGGUGCUGCAUGGCCGUCGUCAGCUCGUGCCGUGAGGUGUUGGGUUAAGUCCCGCAACGAGCGCAACCCCCGCCGUUAGUUGCCAGCGGUUCGGCCGGGCACUCUAACGGGACUGCCCGCGAAAGCGGGAGGAAGGAGGGGACGACGUCUGGUCAGCAUGGCCCUUACGGCCUGGGCGACACACGUGCUACAAUGCCCACUACAAAGCGAUGCCACCCGGCAACGGGGAGCUAAUCGCAAAAAGGUGGGCCCAGUUCGGAUUGGGGUCUGCAACCCGACCCCAUGAAGCCGGAAUCGCUAGUAAUCGCGGAUCAGCCAUGCCGCGGUGAAUACGUUCCCGGGCCUU